This 257-nucleotide ribosomal RNA is filed under the name uncultured bacterium. Its description in RNAcentral is "partial 16S ribosomal RNA". It matches the Rfam family "Bacterial small subunit ribosomal RNA", at positions 524 to 777 of the family's 1533-position model. The record is from RNAcentral.
UACGGAGGAUCCGAGCGUUAUCCGGAUUUAUUGGGUUUAAAGGGUGCGUAGGCGGCCUGUUAAGUCAGGGGUGAAAGACGGUAGCUCAACUAUCGCAGUGCCCUUGACUACUGAUGGGCUUGGAAUUGAUACUAGAGGUAGGCGGAAUGUGACAAGUAGCGGUGAAAUGCAUAGAUAUGUCACAGAACACCAAUUGCGAAGGCAGCUUACUAUGGUAUUAUUGACGCUGAGGCACGAAAGCGUGGGGAUCAACAGGA